RNAcentral lists this ribosomal RNA (253 nucleotides) under uncultured bacterium. RNAcentral's name for it is "partial 16S ribosomal RNA". It matches the Rfam family "Bacterial small subunit ribosomal RNA", at positions 524 to 776 of the family's 1533-position model. The record is from RNAcentral.
UACGUGGGGGGCGAGCGUUGUUCGGAAUUAUUGGGCGUAAAGGGUGCGUAGGCGGCCUGACAAGUCUGAUGUGAAAUCCCUGGGCUCAACCCAGGGCCUGCAUCGGAAACUGGCGGGCUUGAGUAUGGGAGAGGUGAGUGGAAUUUCCGGUGUAGCGGUGAAAUGCGUAGAUAUCGGGAGGAACACCUGUGGCGAAAGCGGCUCACUGGACCGCAACUGACGCUGAGGCGCGAAAGCUAGGGGAGCAAACAGG